AAGGAAUAUUGGUCAAUGGACGCAAGUCUGAACCAGCCAUGCCGCGUGAAGGAUGAAGGUCCUCUGGAUUGUAAACUUCUUUUAUCUGGGACGAAAACGGGAUUUUUAUCUCAAUUGACGGUACCAGAGGAAUAAGCACCGGCUAACUCCGUGCCAGCAGCCGCGGUAAUACGGAGGGUGCGAGCGUUAUCCGGAUUUACUGGGUUUAAAGGGUGCGUAGGUGGGCUUAUAAGUCAGUGGUGAAAUCUCCGAGCUUAACUUGGAAACUGCCGUUGAUACUAUAGGUCUUGAAUUAUCUGGAGGUGAGCGGAAUAUGUCAUGUGGCGGUGAAAUGCUUAGAUAUGACAUAGAACACCAAUUGCGAAGGCAGCUUACUACAUAUAAAUUGACGCUGAGGCACGAAAGCGUGGGGAUCAAACA
RNAcentral lists this ribosomal RNA (420 nucleotides) under uncultured bacterium. Its description in RNAcentral is "bacterial SSU rRNA". It matches the Rfam family "Bacterial small subunit ribosomal RNA", at positions 356 to 774 of the family's 1533-position model. The record is from RNAcentral.